CAGGAGCUGCUGCUGGUGAAGUCGCUGCUCUUCUGCACGGUGCUUGCGACGCCGCCUUGGCAGCAGCUCUCGUCCUCCGGUGCUGCGUGUGGAGCCUCCGUGCCGCGGAGGGGAGAGCCACAUCACACGGCGCUAUAUCGGUUGCGCUUCUGAAAGGCGGCUUCGCUGGGAAAGGGGGACCCGUUGGGAAGCUAGCAAGAUGCUUCCUGAAUAAAACGGCAGCUGAGGUGGAUGGUCUGGCCUGAUUUCGGGGGUUAUGACAGCCUUUGCAACCCUUUAAGACUUCUUGAAUAUCAUUCCUGUCUGUAUUGCUGUCCAUCCCUGCCCCCAAGAACGUGGGAGUGGAUUAUGCUGCCAGCACAGUGCUUGCUCUGACCACUGUCCUCGUGAAUGUCAGCUUAUUCACAGUGAAACAGCCCUCUUUUGCCACUUCAUCAAGGACAGCUCGAUGUCUCGUGCUCGAUGCAUCUGUCUCAUCACUCUGACAGUCAUAAAUCCAGUAGCUGCUUAACGCUUCUUAAGGAGGAGUGGGGUUUUGGAGGGUUUGUUUCACACUAACAAAAUCCAGGUUCGUGUCGUGGUGUGAACUUAGCAUUGCAAAAGUCUAGUGUAAGCUACUGUUUGUUUGGACACCUUUUUUACUUAAAAUUGCUGAGGGUGAUUUGUCUGCUCUUCAUUCCCAGAAUCUGUCUUCCAUUUGGUACCCUCACAUCUUCCAUUUU
Molecule: long non-coding RNA, 722 nt
Filed under: Apteryx owenii (little spotted kiwi)
Lineage: Eukaryota; Metazoa; Chordata; Aves; Apterygiformes; Apterygidae
Description: lncRNA (ENSAOWG00000014893.1)
Source: RNAcentral